AUUGAACGCUGGCGGCAUGCUUUACACAUGCAAGUCGAACGGUAACAGGCCUUCGGGUGCUGACGAGUGGCGAACGGGUGAGUAAUGCAUCGGAACGUACCCAGAGGUGGGGGAUAACGCAGCGAAAGCUGUGCUAAUACUGCAUGUGAUCUGAGGAUGAAAGCGGGGGACCGAGCAGCAAUGUUUGGCCUCGCGCCUUUGGAGCGGCCGAUGUCGGAUUAGCUAGUUGGUGGGGUAAAGGCCUACCAAGGCGACGAUCCGUAGCUGGUCUGAGAGGACGAUCAGCCACACUGGGACUGAGACACGGACAAGAGUCCUACGGGAGGCAGCAGUGGGGAAUGUUGGACAAUGGGCGCAAGCCUGAUCCAGCGAUGCCGCGUGCGGGAAGAAGGCCUUCGGGUUGUAAACCGCUUUUGGGAGGAACGAAACGGUGUCCGCUAAUACCGGGCGCUAAUGACGGUACCUGCAGAAUAAGCACCGGCUAACUACGUG
This 492-nucleotide ribosomal RNA is filed under the name uncultured bacterium. RNAcentral's name for it is "partial 16S ribosomal RNA". It matches the Rfam family "Bacterial small subunit ribosomal RNA", at positions 29 to 507 of the family's 1533-position model. The record is from RNAcentral.